Molecule: long non-coding RNA, 1051 nt
Organism: Cavia porcellus (domestic guinea pig)
Lineage: Eukaryota; Metazoa; Chordata; Mammalia; Rodentia; Caviidae
Exons: 3
Source: RefSeq, a predicted model, not a curated record
CCCUCAGCCAUGCCACCCUGCUUAGGAGCCAGCUGAUUAUGGACCGAAGCCUCUACAAACUCUUCACAAUGGAAACCACAUUGUGACAGAGAUUCCUUGUGUCUACUUAUGUUCAGAAGGAUUUUGUAGGAGGCCAUGUAUCAAUGGAGCACCUACACUGGACCCAAAAAACCAAUCCAAGAGAGAGCUUAGUCCCAAGAGCUGAGCUUUGGUCCUAGAAGCGUGUUCAGGAGGUUGUCUCCAGCCCACUGCUCUCAAAUCAACUCAGGGAUUCACAAUCAGAAGAGCCAUCAAGGCUGAUAUUUUAAGGAGGAGCUAAGAAUGAACACUAAGAUGGAUCAAGGUUCAAAGGUUGGAAGAGAGUUCCUUAAUUGGGAAGAGCCAUUAUGAGAAAGAACCCUGGCAGCAUCACACCUGGAGAGGUACUUCACGAAUAUGCGCUGAGUCAUCAACUGGCUGUCGUGACCAAGACCUAAAUGUUCUGGGUGUGCUUAAGCCUUUUGAAAUUAAAACUAAUAUGUGUGGGUAUGCACCUUGUGGUAUGCACUGUAUAGUACUAGGAUCUACUGAUUCUAAAGUGAUAGCAUGGAAAUCCUGUUUUUAGUAUGAUGCUAAUGGCAUCUUCUCAAAAGUACUGUCUUCAAACGAGUUAUUUUUGAUGAUGGGGGAUAAGCUUUAGAGAAAGAGAUAAAAGAGUUUAGGAGGGAGGGACUAACAUCAUCAAGGAAUGAAAAAGAAAAGCACCAAUGAAACAGUCUCUGCCUAUGAAAUAGAAACACAGGAGAGAAGCAGCAGCCAGUUGAUAGGAGGUAGGUUUUUGCAUUAUUUGGAAUCUUGUACACAUGAGUGAUAUUCAGCAGGCCCAGAGAGAUAGGCCUUGGGAUACAAGUAAUGGCCAAACUCUGAUGAAAUAUACUCUUGGGCAUUUUUCUAAUAAGUUUAUGUUUAUUAAAUGAUUCCAGAGUAUAGUAAAGCUCUGGGGCUUUAUCUAACAAAUUGUUCUCUCCUAAAUCUCUCUUAAGAGCUCUGGUUAGAAGCUAGUAGUGUCUCA